Mesocricetus auratus (golden hamster) is the source of this 65-nucleotide non-coding RNA. Lineage: Eukaryota; Metazoa; Chordata; Mammalia; Rodentia; Cricetidae. The record is from Rfam.
UAUCCAGUAAGACUCCUGGCUAUAGUCCAGCUCUUUGCUGGAUUUAGCCAAAGUCUGUCUGUAAA